This is a long non-coding RNA of Camelus dromedarius (Arabian camel), 1017 nucleotides long. RefSeq lists it as uncharacterized. The record is from RefSeq and is a predicted model, not a curated record. NCBI's taxonomy places the organism in Eukaryota, Metazoa, Chordata, Mammalia, Artiodactyla, Camelidae. The transcript is spliced from 4 exons.
CUGAGUCCAGUCAGGUGUCCUACCAAUGAAUCUGGGCCAGUGGUCAUGGAGUCCCUUCCCCUAAACCAAUCCCUGUAUCUGCCCUUGGAUCCUGACACAAGGGGCACCAGAGGCACUUCCCACUUUAGUUAGAAGUUUCCUUCCUGGGUUGUAUAUGCUCUGAAUUCUCUCCCUUCCAGGCACUCCUCUGGCUGUGUGAUGAUUUAUGUAAACGUGGAGUGUUGGACUGUUCAGCUCUUCUGGAUUACUGUUCCACAGGACAGGAGUUGGGUCUGUUCUCAUCAACCUCAGGAUCCCCCUGGCUCAAUACAGGCACUCCAUAAGGACACAGAGGCCCUGAGAAAUAAAGCAACUUGCCCUGAUCACCCAGAUGCAAGUCAGUCUGACGCCAGAGCCUGGAAGGAGAGCUCAGUAGCUGCAAUCACAAGACUCUGACAACUGAGGAUCUGGUGGUUUGGUUUACUUCGACUCACCACCCAAAGGUGUCAAAUAAUCACUGCAAAUGGGAGGGGUACGUGGUGGCAGCGAGCAAGAUGGUAAAAAAACUAACCUAGGUCAAGAAUCUCAGUGUGAUCAAAUGGAUGCAUGGACAGAAUGGCCAGACCUCAGAAGGGGAUCUCUGACAAGAGUGAUGUCCAAGGGCACCCUGAUUCUGCUGGUUCCCAGCUCACCCACUCAACCCACAUCUGCGGAGCAUGGCCCUGGGAGACGGGAAGAAAUGCAAUAUACUCUAUCAAGUUUCAGAGACAUGGCCUGGAGACAUGACUGGGAUCUACGUGGAGGAGAGCUGGGGUCAACAAAGUGGAGCACACGCUACAGAUUACAGCUGCCAUACACGGAAUGUGACACCUCCAUGUCAGUGACCGCCUUGUCACUGGGUUACCCCAGCAAGGGUGGGACUGAGAUUGCUCCCUGGGUGUUCGGAAACAUGUACUCCAGAGCUCCCAGGGCUGCACCCAUGAUGCAGCUGGACAUCCGGGAGGGUCUGAACACAGUGAAAUGAAGGAGAAAACCAGA